This 116-nucleotide small RNA is filed under the name Marmota monax (woodchuck). Lineage: Eukaryota; Metazoa; Chordata; Mammalia; Rodentia; Sciuridae. The record is from RNAcentral.
GCUGAGUAUGGUGGCACAUGACUUAAUCCCAGCUCUCUGGGAUGCUGAGCCAGGAGGAUCUCUUGAGCCCAGGAGUUUGAAGCCAGCCUGGGCAAUACAGUGAGACCCUGUCUCAA